RNAcentral lists this long non-coding RNA (1059 nucleotides) under Gossypium barbadense (sea-island cotton). Its description in RNAcentral is "long non-coding RNA (GBAR_LNC002912)". Lineage: Eukaryota; Viridiplantae; Streptophyta; Magnoliopsida; Malvales; Malvaceae. The record is from RNAcentral.
UUUCAUUCAGAUUUUUAAAAAAAAAAUUAAGAGACAAGCUUUGAACUCUCUCUGGGGGUCACGAUUUUCGGCCACAAGGCCACCGUGGCAGCCGUCGGUCGCCGGUGACGGCUCCGCCGUACACCGUGGCCGGAGAUUAUAGAAAGAGACCCUUCUGGUCGUUUUACUCCCCUUGACCAGGAUCUGGUGUCAAAACACCCGAAAAGCCCUCGCAAAAGCCAAAAAAACCAAGGAAACCUUUCGGUUUCGUCUUCUCCGACUGUCAAAAGGUAAAAAGCUUUAGAUUUUUACAUGUAUGUAUCUAUAUACGCACACAACACGUGUAAAAGGCUAUCAAAAAUGAGAAUACCUAAACUGUUUUCGAUUCUCUGACAUCUCGUGUAAUACAACGUUUUUUUUGUCUUAAAAAAAACCCCCACAUUUUUACAUUCGAUUUCCUCAUCUUAUAGCCGAACAGGGUACAAUAUUUUACAUUUUUUCUGUUGUUUUGGCUUCUGUUUCUUGUUGUCCUUGCUUUUGUCUUCUCUGUUUGCAGGCGUUGGAAAUCAACGGGGCAAGGUUUGGUCAUUUCAGUGUAAGGCCAGAAGAAAGGGGUUAGGGCUCGGCGUUGGACGCGCUGACAAGGCCCGUGGGGGAGCGGCGCGGCGCAAAGGAGGCUGGCUGUGGCGCAAGCAUUAGGUCUAGGGUUGGGGUUUUCUGAAAACCUUAGCGUUUUGGGCCUGUUGGGCCUGUUGGGCCUGUUCUUGCGGUUGGGCCACAGGUCUUUGUAAUUGGACUGUAAAACUGGACUAUUUAUUGGGUUUUUAUUUUUGUUUAGUUUCGGUUUGUUUGUUGUUUAGUGGACCCGGGCUAAAUUGGGCCUCUACAAUGACUAGAAGCUAUCUGCAAAAUCCCAAGAAAUCUGUAAAUAAAUAAAAGAACUAGAAGAGAUUAUGAAUAAUUCUCAAAAAGGUUGCUCUCAAUUGUUUAGGUCUUAUUUCGACCUGAAAUUUGUGUGUACAUUAACCUUAAUACUCUAUUAUAGUGAAGAGAAAUUUGAGCCAAAUUCUAUGAUUUUGA